CAAUAGCGUAUAUUUAAGUUGUUGCAGUUAAAAAGCUCGUAGUUGGAUUUCGGAUGGGACUUGCCGGUCCGUCGUUUCGAUGUGCACUGGCCAGUCCUAUCUUGUUGUCGGGGACUAGCUCCUGGGCUUCACUGUCCGGGACUAGGAGCUGACGAGGUUACUUUGAGUGAAUUAGAGUGUUCAAAGCAAGCCUACGCUCUGAAUACAUUAGCAUGGAAUAACACGAUAGGACUCUGGCUUAUCUUGUUGGUCUGUGAGACCAGAGUAAUGAUUAAGAGGGACAGUCGGGGGCAUUCGUAUUUCAUUGUCAGAGGUGAAAUUCUUGGAUUUAUGAAAGACGAACUUCUGCGAAAGCAUUUGUCAAGGAUGUUUUCAUUAA
RNAcentral lists this ribosomal RNA (379 nucleotides) under uncultured eukaryote. RNAcentral's name for it is "partial 18S ribosomal RNA". It matches the Rfam family "Eukaryotic small subunit ribosomal RNA", at positions 592 to 976 of the family's 1831-position model. The record is from RNAcentral.